This 501-nucleotide ribosomal RNA is filed under the name uncultured bacterium. RNAcentral describes it as "partial 16S ribosomal RNA". It matches the Rfam family "Bacterial small subunit ribosomal RNA", at positions 30 to 523 of the family's 1533-position model. The record is from RNAcentral.
AUUGAACGCUGGCGGCAGGCUUAACACAUGCAAGUCGAGCGGAGAUGAGGUGCUUGCACCUUAUCUUAGCGGCGGACGGGUGAGUAAUGCUUAGGAAUCUGCCUAUUAGUGGGUGACAACAUUCCGAAAGGAAUGCUAAUACCGCAUACGUCCUACGGGAGAAAGCAGGGGAUCUUCGGACCUGGCGCUAAUAGAUGAGCCUAAGUCGGAUUAGCUAGUUGGUGGGGUAAAGGCCUACCAAGGCGACGAUCCGUAGCGGGUCUGAGAGGAUGAUCCGCCACAAUGGGACUGAGACACGGCCCAGGAUCCUACGGGAGGCAGCAGUGGGGAAUAUGGGACAAUGGGGGGAACCCUGAUCCAGCCAUGCCGCGUGUGUGAAGAAGGCCUUAUGGUUGUAAAGCACUUUAAGCGAGGAGGAGGCUACUGAGACUAAUACUCUUGGAUAGUGGACGUUACUCGCAGAAUAAGCACCGGCUAACUCUGUGCCAGCCGCCGCGGUAA